CUUUUUGUCUUUGAUAUUAAGUUUAUUAUGGUAUUUCCUGUAGUUAUUUAUGUUGGCUAUCGAGACGGAGAUUACGAAAGUGUUUUUUGGGCUGUUAUCUUAAACCAGUCUCUUUCAGUUUUCAAAAAAAAAAAAAAUACCCAUCUUCACUUCCAUCCCUCUUCACAAGCUCUUAGCACUCAGAUGUGAAUUCACGAGGGAUGACGUAUCAGCACCAAUUUAAAUGGCAACAUCAUAUGUACUCAAAAUUGUUUUUGAUAAUAGGCCAAAUGUAUCUGCUUGACUUAAUCUUCCCUUAGUAUAAGUUAUUUCUCAGGAGGCUGUCAUUAAAAUUUGAAUAUUAUGUACAUUGAAAUAAAUAGCAUUUGAAGCCACAAUGGAGUUUUGAGGAGAGGGUAUAUAGUGAAGAUUUGGUAUAAGGGCCCUCUAUCCACUCCCUUUGGUCCCGCAUGAGAGGACAGUGUGUGUGUGUGGGCUGAGUUGUUGGAUGUUUUUGCAGGUGGAGAACAAUGGUUUUGUUACCAACUAUAUGCCAGUUCUGGAACUGGCAUGGCAUCAGUCCCCCUGUAACUAGCCUGUUAGAGGACCAGCAGCUUCCACCAUGGUCUCUUGAAGUCCUGAUCUGUCAGAACCUCCAGAAAGGAACACAUGCUUGCUGACUUCUUGAUUCGGCCUUGUAAGACUAAGCAGAGACUCACCUGAGCUCGCUGGACUUCUGACCUGUGGUGACUACAAGAUAAGUGUUUUAGGCCACUAAGUUUAUGAUAAUUUGAUUUGGCAGUAUUAGAAAACUAAUGUACUCUGAGUGAAACUGGGAGGAAUUAGAUACUUUUUAGAGGAGUAUCAUGAUAGGACUUGUGUCCUUUUUACUAAUUAUGUAAAUUUCUGUGCUCUCUUGACAAAAGUGGUUUUUACAAUUAAUCUCUCACUAAGGAUAAUCACCUUUUGACUUUGGUAGUUGAAAGCUGAGUAAUUUAUAUCCUUGAUAUCAGACACUAUUUGGACAGUUUGAAAAGCCUUUUACAUUUUCUGAAUUUCAGCAUUAAUAUAUGUUUCUUUACCAGGAAAUCCAGAUUAAUAUGGUCUGGAACAAUUAAAUGAAUUUAAAGUUAUUUCACUCAUUUAGGGGAAAAUGAUGCCUAUUAUCUGUAGCAAAGACCAUGCUGAAUUAUCUCUGAAAAUAAUCUUAAUCCUCUACUUUCCCUUUUCCCCCGCCUUUUGCAUUUUUUUUCUUCCCACAAAAUAAGUCCUUGAUAAAACCAAAGUUACUAAAGAUUAAGCGAGGAAUUAAAAGAUACCAAGAUUGUCUUUAAGCUCCUGUCUCAAUGUUUCUUAAAAUUUGAAUAUAUUUUCCACAGCAUUGCGUUUUGUCUGUCUUAGGCAGAAGCAAGCAUAUGAGUUUGUGAGUCAAUUCUCAGUAACUAUUUGUCUUCUAAAUUUGUACAGAAUAUUAGGUCAAUAAUACCUAAUCCUAUUUGAGGCAUCACAUUUCAGCUUGGGACCACAGAGCUUCUCCUAUCAGCUAUGGCCACAUCAACCUGUCUUUGGCAACUGAGUGUUGCAACUUGGUCCUGCCAGUCUGCCACUAUCCCUGUUGGAUUUAAGGAGCCCAGUUUGAUGACAACAGUUCCCUCUGUCUUUCCUGGCCUGCAAAGAACAACCACCACAGAGCUUUGAGGAUGAUGAGAUUCCCCUCAUGAAUGACUCAUUGUUCAGGCCUCUGGGAGAACUUCCCUACUUCUCUUGCCCAAAGUCCUUGAAACAAAAAUGCUGUGAAGGUUGUGUGCUGUGGUGCUGUUCACACUGGAAAGGACACAGCUUCAUGGGGAGAAUAUGAGCAGAGGAAACAGUGAGAAGAAAGAUGAAUGAACUUGUCAAAUCCUUCCUAUCAGAGAGUGUGAAUGCAGGAGAUCCCAGCAGUGCCUAGUGCCAUUUUCUUGUUUCACUUUGUGUUCCAGCGUGUGGCUUUGGAGAUACUCAUGGGUUGGUGAAGUAUGCUCAGUGGUUGCAUGUGUUGACUGAGGAAUAUUUUGCAAUGGUAAACAUUUUGUUUUAUUCUUGAAUUUGUAUACCUUUAUGUUUAGAUGUAAUUAUGCAUUAAGUAUGAUUACCACAUUGACAACUAGAUGGCUGUUGAAGGUUAGCACUGGGAAUGGUUUUAUUUUUCUAAACUAUUUAGCAAUAUUAAUUAAAUUCAAAAAAUUAAACAAAUUUAUUGACUUUAAUUUCUAAAUAAAAAUUAAUUCCAGGGAAAAAGUUUGUGAUCUAAAAAAAGUAA
Long non-coding RNA from Camelus dromedarius (Arabian camel), 2278 nucleotides. RefSeq lists it as uncharacterized. The transcript is spliced from 4 exons. NCBI's taxonomy places the organism in Eukaryota, Metazoa, Chordata, Mammalia, Artiodactyla, Camelidae. The record is from RefSeq and is a predicted model, not a curated record.